UACGGGGGGAGAAAGCGUUGUUCGGAUUUACUGGGCGUAAAGGGCGCGUAGGCGGCUUAACAAGUCACUUGUGAAAUCUCCGGGCUUAACUCGGAACGGCCAAGUGAAACUGUCAAGCUAGAGUGCAGAAGGGGCAAUCGGAAUUCUUGGUGUAGCGGUGAAAUGCGUAGAUAUCAAGAGGAACACCUGAGGUGAAGACGGGUUGCUGGGCUGACACUGACGCUGAGGCGCGAAAGCCAGGGGAGCAAACGGG
RNAcentral lists this ribosomal RNA (253 nucleotides) under uncultured bacterium. RNAcentral describes it as "partial 16S ribosomal RNA". It matches the Rfam family "Bacterial small subunit ribosomal RNA", at positions 524 to 776 of the family's 1533-position model. The record is from RNAcentral.